UCCGUAGGUGAACCUGCGGAAGGAUCAUUAACGAGUUGGAGCGUGGAGAUUGACGCUGGUGCAUAUAUUUAUUGUAUGUACAUGUGCUCGCCUUCACACUCUUCAUCCAUUCAACUCCUGUGCACUUUAUCAGAGUUAGUAGCAGUACCUGUGGUAGUCAUGUGUUAUUCAUUGUUAGAGAGGGAUAACUCUUUCUGAUAAUAGUAAUAAUAAUCUUGAUUCUACUGUUACUAUGAAUACUUUGACUUUACUUAUACAAAUUCUUUGCUUGUUCUUGUGAAUGUGGAAAUGCUCCUUGUGAGCGAAAUACAAAUAUACAACUUUCAACAACGGAUCUCUUGGCUCUCGCAUCGAUGAAGAACGCAGCGAAAUGCGAUAAGUAAUGUGAAUUGCAGAAUUCAGUGAAUCAUCGAAUCUUUGAACGCACCUUGCGCCCCUUGGUAUUCCGAGGGGCAUGCCUGUUUGAGUGUCAUGUCAUUCUCAAUCCUCUUCUUCUUAAUUGAAGAAGGGGCUUGGACUUGGAGGUAUAUGAAUGCUGGUACUGUCUGUAUCGGCUCCUCUCAAAUGCAGUAGCUGGACUGUAGCUUGCGUUGUUUGGUGUAAUAGUUUUAUAUCUAUAUUCACUGCAGCGCUUACUUAGACUGUCUGCUUCCAAUAGUCCGCUUUGUCUCGGACAAGGUAUUUUGUUGCCUUAAACCAAUUUGACUCCUUUGACCUCAAAUCAGGUAGGACUACCCGCUGAACUUAAGCAUAUCAAUAAGCGGAGGAA
Molecule: ribosomal RNA, 769 nt
Filed under: Fomitiporia gabonensis
Lineage: Eukaryota; Fungi; Basidiomycota; Agaricomycetes; Hymenochaetales; Hymenochaetaceae
Description: eukaryotic LSU rRNA
Rfam family: 5.8S ribosomal RNA (bases 319-472)
Source: RNAcentral